Molecule: ribosomal RNA, 253 nt
Filed under: uncultured bacterium
Lineage: Bacteria
Description: partial 16S ribosomal RNA
Rfam family: Archaeal small subunit ribosomal RNA
Source: RNAcentral
UACCAGCACCCCGAGUGGUCGGGACGAUUAUUGGGCCUAAAGCAUCCGUAGCCGGUUCUACAAGUCUUCCGUUAAAUCCACCUGCUUAACAGAUGGGCUGCGGAGGAUACUAUAGAGCUAGGAGGCGGGAGAGGCGAGCGGUACUUAGUGGGUAGGGGUAAAAUCCGUUGAUCCAUUGAAGACCACCAGUGGCGAAGGCGGCUUGCCAGAACGCACUCGACGGUGAGGGAUGAAAGCUGGGGGGGCAAACCGG